GUUAAUGAGGCGAACCGGGGGAACUGAAACAUCUAAGUACCCCGAGGAAAAGAAAUCAACCGAGAUUCCCCCAGUAGCGGCGAGCGAACGGGGAGGAGCCCAGAGCCUGAAUCAGCAUGUGUGUUAGUGGAAGCGUCUGGAAAGGCGCGCGAUACAGGGUGACAGCCCCGUACACAAAAGCGCAUGUGCUGUGAGCUCGAUGAGUAGGGCGGGACACGUGGUAUCCUGUCUGAAUAUGGGGGGACCAUCCUCCAAGGCUAAAUACUCCUGACUGACCGAUAGUGAACCAGUACCGUGAGGGAAAGGCGAAAAGAACCCCGGCGAGGGGAGUGAAAAAGAACCUGAAACCGU
Molecule: ribosomal RNA, 351 nt
Filed under: Salmonella enterica
Lineage: Bacteria; Pseudomonadati; Pseudomonadota; Gammaproteobacteria; Enterobacterales; Enterobacteriaceae
Also listed under: 3 other names
Description: partial 23S ribosomal RNA
Rfam family: Bacterial large subunit ribosomal RNA
Source: RNAcentral